CCACGCCGCUAUCUCAGCCUCAACAUCGUAUUCAAACAUCUCAUCAUCUUCUCUUCGAUUCACGAUUCUGCAUUGACGCGACUCACUUGCAGUUACGGAUGCGAUGUUCUUGAAGGUUGAUGACAAAGUGUCAAUGAAUCAGAGGAGAGUUGAAGAUCGUGAAGGUUGUAAAAAGGUUGAAGAUCGAUUAAAGAAGCCAAAGUUGAAGGAGAUGGUAAAGUUGAAGCGUGAAGGCGAAGCAGGCUGAAGGUUGUUAUGCGUUGAUGUUGUUGUUCGUUGUUGAUAGAAAUUCGAAGAUUGAUGUUGAUGAACGAUGAAGAGGAUUUGAGAUUGGUUCUGUGAUCGAAGGUUGGUGAUUCAGAGUUUUUGUGUUGAAGUUGUUCGAUGAAGAAUUCUCGAUUGAAGAAUGAAGAUGAAGAUUCAAGAGCGUUCUCAGUUUGUUACAGUGAGUGAAUGGUGAUGUUGAGGAUUCAAGAUGAUGGAGAGGAUUGCAACGUGAAGGUGAUAGAAGACGACGCUGAGAAAGUUGAAUGAGGGAGAGAGGCUUGUUGGUUGAAGAGAGAGAG
Vicia villosa (hairy vetch) is the source of this 566-nucleotide long non-coding RNA. RefSeq lists it as uncharacterized. The record is from RefSeq and is a predicted model, not a curated record. The transcript is spliced from 3 exons. Lineage: Eukaryota; Viridiplantae; Streptophyta; Magnoliopsida; Fabales; Fabaceae.